GGUUUGGCACCUCGAUGUCGGCUCAUCGCAUCCUGGGGCUGUAGUCGGUCCCAAGGGUUGGGCUGUUCGCCCAUUAAAGCGGUACGCGAGCUGGGUUCAGAACGUCGUGAGACAGUUCGGUCCCUAUCCGUCGCGGGCGUAGGAAAUUUGAGAGGACCUGUCCUUAGUACGAGAGGACCGGGAUGGACAUACCUCUGGUGUACCAGUUGUGCCGCCAGGCGCAUCGCUGGGUAGCUACGUAUGGAUGUGAUAAACGCUGAAAGCAUCUAAGUGUGAAACACACCUCGAGAUGAGAUUUCCCAUUCCUUUAUGGAAGUAAGACCCCUGAAAGAUGAUCAGGUAGAUAGGUUAGAAGUGGCAGUGCGGUGACGCAUGAAGCGGACUAAUACUAAUCGGUCGAGGACUUAACCAA
RNAcentral lists this ribosomal RNA (412 nucleotides) under Lactiplantibacillus plantarum WJL. Its description in RNAcentral is "bacterial LSU rRNA". It matches the Rfam family "Bacterial large subunit ribosomal RNA", at positions 2515 to 2925 of the family's 2925-position model. Lineage: Bacteria; Bacillati; Bacillota; Bacilli; Lactobacillales; Lactobacillaceae. The record is from RNAcentral.